CCUACGGGAGGCAGCAGUGAGGAAUAUUGGUCAAUGGGCGGAAGCCUGAACCAGCCAAGUAGCGUGCAGGAUGACUGCCCUACGGGUUGUAAACUUCUUUUAUAAGGGAAUAACGUGAGUCACGUGUGCCGUUUUGCAUGUACUUUAUGAAUAAGGAUCGGCUAACUCCGUGCCAGCAGCCGCGGUAAUACGGAGGAUCCGAGCGUUAUCCGGAUUUAUUGGGUUUAAAGGGAGCGUAGACGGGUUGUUAAGUCAGUUGUGAAAGGUUGCGGCUCAACCGUAAAAUUGCAAUUGAUACUGGCAUGCUUGAGUACAGUUGAGGCAGGCGGAAUUCGUGGUGUAGCGGUGAAAUGCUUAGAUAUGACGAAGAACCCCGAUUGCGAAGGCAGCUUGCUAAACUGCAACUGACGUUGAUGCUCGAAAGUGUGGGUAUCAAACAGGAUUAGAUACCCUUGUAGUC
Molecule: ribosomal RNA, 460 nt
Filed under: uncultured bacterium
Lineage: Bacteria
Description: partial 16S ribosomal RNA
Rfam family: Bacterial small subunit ribosomal RNA
Source: RNAcentral